Molecule: unclassified non-coding RNA, 360 nt
Filed under: Hevea brasiliensis (rubber tree)
Lineage: Eukaryota; Viridiplantae; Streptophyta; Magnoliopsida; Malpighiales; Euphorbiaceae
Source: RNAcentral
CAACUUUAAGGGCAUAAACUUGGGAAGUCCUCUUAUGACGUACUUUAUAGACUGUACCACCAUUUCCAUGGCCUAAAACUUGGAGCUUUUCGAGAUCGUUACAAGAAAUCAUAGCGGAGGCAGCGGUCGUGGUGUUGUUGGUAGAAGUGGUGACACUGGGAGGAAAUGGCAAGGGGAAGCGAGGACGGCGCUCGGAGGAUUCAGGAAUAGGGAGGCGGAGGUUGAGCUGGCGGCGUUCACGGACGACGGCCAUGGGCUUGGGCUGGGGGAGGAGGAGGAGGAGAAGGAGGAGGCGGAGGACAGACGAAAAAAGAGAAAUGGUAUUCUGUAAAGCCGGAGACGUAGGAUUCUAUAUACGUG